Molecule: small RNA, 500 nt
Filed under: Pan troglodytes (chimpanzee)
Lineage: Eukaryota; Metazoa; Chordata; Mammalia; Primates; Hominidae
Description: processed transcript
Source: RNAcentral
GCAGUACCUUCAACAUUCCUUCAGUACAGACAGCCAGCAUGCAGUGAGCACUCAGCGAUGGCCAAGUAUGGGAGAAGCCAUGCUGGAAUGAACAUGUGGGACCAUUUUGUGCAGUUUCUCAGAGGAAGAUAAGAACCAUCUUCAAUGGCACAUGGCAGUUGCCAAAUUGCCAUGAAGCAAUACCUAAAGCCACCUCAUGCUCAGGAGAAAACGCUCACCUUCCCCUCCUGGCUCCCCGUGCUCUACACGUUCAGAGAAACUUCUCUAGUAAUGAACUCAGGAACUGGUCACUGAGAGUAUAGUCUCUAUGGACAGCUUCGGAGCCAUGGAGUGAAGCCGAGCAAAUCCAUGGACUACUGCCCUGCCCCCGGUCUAUCUCGCUAGACUAGGGACAGGACUUGGGUGAUGCAGGAACAGAGAAUGACCUGAGGAGGACACAGACCAGACCAGAGAGGAAGGAAGAUGAGAGGAGGAUGCGGGAAAGGGGCUUACAUCAAUCU